UGCUGGGUAGAGCAGUCUGGUAGCUUGUGGGGCUCAUAAUCCCGAGGUCGCGGGUUCGAAUCCUGCCCCAGCAC
RNAcentral lists this transfer RNA (74 nucleotides) under Oedogonium cardiacum. RNAcentral describes it as "tRNA-Met". It matches the Rfam family "tRNA". Rfam says of the family: Transfer RNA (tRNA) molecules are approximately 80 nucleotides in length. The record is from RNAcentral. Lineage: Eukaryota; Viridiplantae; Chlorophyta; Chlorophyceae; Oedogoniales; Oedogoniaceae.